RNAcentral lists this transfer RNA (91 nucleotides) under Actinorhabdospora filicis. Its description in RNAcentral is "tRNA-Ile". Lineage: Bacteria; Bacillati; Actinomycetota; Actinomycetes; Micromonosporales; Micromonosporaceae. The record is from RNAcentral.
GGCCCGUGGCCGGGCUCAGGGCCAUCGCCAGAUUGGCGGUCAUCAGCUCGUGUACCGGUUGACCGGGUGGUUCGGGUUCACCGCGGGUUGC